This 555-nucleotide ribosomal RNA is filed under the name Bifidobacterium longum subsp. suillum. RNAcentral describes it as "bacterial SSU rRNA". It matches the Rfam family "Bacterial small subunit ribosomal RNA", at positions 146 to 714 of the family's 1533-position model. The record is from RNAcentral. Lineage: Bacteria; Bacillati; Actinomycetota; Actinomycetes; Bifidobacteriales; Bifidobacteriaceae.
UCUCCUGGAAAACGGGUGGUAAUGCCGGAUGCUCCAGUUGAUCGCAUGGUCUUCUGGGAAAGCUUUCGCGGUAUGGGAUGGGGUCGCGUCCUAUCAGCUUGACGGCGGGGUAACGGCCCACCGUGGCUUCGACGGGUAGCCGGCCUGAGAGGGCGACCGGCCACAUUGGGACUGAGAUACGGCCCAGACUCCUACGGGAGGCAGCAGUGGGGAAUAUUGCACAAUGGGCGCAAGCCUGAUGCAGCGACGCCGCGUGAGGGAUGGAGGCCUUCGGGUUGUAAACCUCUUUUAUCGGGGAGCAAGCGAGAGUGAGUUUACCCGUUGAAUAAGCACCGGCUAACUACGUGCCAGCAGCCGCGGUAAUACGUAGGGUGCAAGCGUUAUCCGGAAUUAUUGGGCGUAAAGGGCUCGUAGGCGGUUCGUCGCGUCCGGUGUGAAAGUCCAUCGCUUAACGGUGGAUCCGCGCCGGGUACGGGCGGGCUUGAGUGCGGUAGGGGAGACUGGAAUUCCCGGUGUAACGGUGGAAUGUGUAGAUAUCGGAAAAGAACACCCCCC